RNAcentral lists this transfer RNA (87 nucleotides) under Fidelibacterota bacterium. RNAcentral describes it as "tRNA-Leu". It matches the Rfam family "tRNA". Rfam says of the family: Transfer RNA (tRNA) molecules are approximately 80 nucleotides in length. Lineage: Bacteria; Pseudomonadati; Fidelibacterota. The record is from RNAcentral.
GCCGGGGUGGCGAAACUGGUAGACGCGGCAGACUCAAAAUCUGUUGAUGGAAACAUCGUGUGGGUUCAAGUCCCUCUCCCGGUACAA